Molecule: small RNA, 459 nt
Filed under: Spisula solidissima (Atlantic surf clam)
Lineage: Eukaryota; Metazoa; Mollusca; Bivalvia; Venerida; Mactridae
Description: cnRNA51
Source: RNAcentral
AUAAUCAUGAGCAUUGCCAAAUGCAUCAGAACUCAACCGAUUUCGGGCUACAAAAAAUGUCGAAAUUACACGGAAAAGUAGGAAGUUAAUGAUGGAUGGAUUACCUUAAAUAUCAGAUAACGUCAACGAAGCAAGCGCAUUUUCGUAAUAACAUGUAUAUCCUUUGACUGUACAAUGACAAAUAGUAAAGGAGGUUGCAAAACAGAACGUAUACGUGUGCCUGAAGAUCAUGACGUCAUCCAGGUGUGCGUAGUUCUAAAAAUAAAGAACAUGUGGCAGACGAAAAUAGACCUGUAGCGGUUUGCGUUCUAUGUCAUAAUGGUAUGCGUAGGUCACGAGAAACUGGAUUGUUUCUCCCAUGUGCUCAUCGUGUUUUAUUCACACUCGUGUCGAUUAAUAAGGAAAACAUGCUUCAAUUGUCACGUGAUAUAUAACACAUACACGUUUCGUUUCGCAAGC